CGUAAGACGUAGGCGAAUUCGUCGUGUAGCGGUGAAAUGCAUAGAUAUGACGAAGAACUCCGAUUGCGAAGGCAGCUUACUGGGCCGCAACUGACGUUGAAGCUCGAAGGUGCGGGUAUCAAACAGGAUUAGAUAGCGUGGUAGUCCGCACAGUAAACGAUGGAUACUCGCUGUCGGCGAUAUACAGUCGGUAGCCCAAGCGAAAGCAUUAAGUAUCCCACCUGGGGAGUACGCCGGCAACGGUGAAACUC
RNAcentral lists this ribosomal RNA (251 nucleotides) under uncultured bacterium. RNAcentral describes it as "partial 16S ribosomal RNA". It matches the Rfam family "Bacterial small subunit ribosomal RNA", at positions 649 to 902 of the family's 1533-position model. The record is from RNAcentral.